CCUACGGGAGGCAGCAGUGGGGAAUAUUGCGCAAUGGGCGAAAGCCUGACGCAGCGACGCCGCAUGAGGGAUGAAGGUCUUCGGAUCGUAAACCUCUGUCAGCAGGGAAGAACGGUCACUGUGCUAAUCAGCAGUGAAUUGACGGUACCUGCAAAGGAAGCACCGGCUAACUCCGUGCCAGCAGCCGCGGUAAUACGGAGGGUGCGAGCGUUAAUCGGAAUUACUGGGCGUAAAGCGCUCGUAGGCGGUAUGUCAAGUCAAGGGGGAAAUCCCCGCGCUCAACGUGGGAACUGCCUUUGAAACUGGCAAACUGGAGUGUGUGAGAGGAUAGUGGAAUUCCAGGUGUAGGAGUGAAAUCCGUAGAUAUCUGGAGGAACAUCAGUGGCGAAGGCGACUAUCUGGCACAUAACUGACGCUGAGGAGCGAAAGCGUGGGUAGCAAACAGGAUUAGAUACCCCAGUAGUC
RNAcentral lists this ribosomal RNA (465 nucleotides) under uncultured bacterium. RNAcentral's name for it is "partial 16S ribosomal RNA". It matches the Rfam family "Bacterial small subunit ribosomal RNA", at positions 338 to 795 of the family's 1533-position model. The record is from RNAcentral.